This 143-nucleotide non-coding RNA is filed under the name Elusimicrobiota bacterium. Lineage: Bacteria; Pseudomonadati; Elusimicrobiota. The record is from RNAcentral.
GUAUCACCGGAGUAAGCUGGCGUUGUCCCAAUUUUGUAAGAUAUAAUCAUUCCGCAGAGGAACCCGGUGCGACUCCGGGGCUGCCCCGCAACGGUAAUACCGAAAGGUUAAGCCCGGUCUACUGCCAGCCUGUCCCCGGUUCC